UACGAAGGGGGCUAGCGUUGCUCGGAAUCACUGGGCGUAAAGCGCACGUAGGCGGAUUGCUAAGUCAGGGGUGAAAUCCCGGGGCUCAACCUCGGAACUGCCUUUGAUACUGGAAGUCUUGAGUAUGGAAGAGGUAAGUGGAAUUGCGAGUGUAGAGGUGAAAUUCGUAGAUAUUCGCAGGAACACCAGUGGCGAAGGCGGCUUACUGGUCCAUUACUGACGCUGAGGUGCGAAAGCGUGGGGAGCAAACAGG
Molecule: ribosomal RNA, 253 nt
Filed under: uncultured bacterium
Lineage: Bacteria
Description: partial 16S ribosomal RNA
Rfam family: Bacterial small subunit ribosomal RNA
Source: RNAcentral